ACUGCUAUUAUACCAAGUAGGUUAUACUCUAGACUGAUCUGAUUAGUGGUUGGACGCUCUCGUAUUAUUCAUCAUAAGUGAAUUAAGAAGAAGCAACUUAAAUUAUGUCCAUGCAUUUUGCCUGCUCCUCUGAGAUUUGCUUUCGUUUUUUGUACAGCUUUUAUAUUAGCUGGAGGAACAAAAUAGAAGGAGGCUCCAAAAAGGGUUUAAAAAAGAGAAUGAUAAAAGUUGCUCGUUACCUUUUCCUCAUCUCGGUGAAACUAACCCGAACCGCACGACGUAACGAGGGCAUCAACUUGUCGUGCUACAACAUUGGCUGAACUUCCGUAUUGGCAGGAUCUACAACCUUAUCAAAAUUCGAACAUCAGAACGUCUAAGCAACAACAACAAAGCCCUUGUCAUUUUGGCUGUUACACUGGUCAUUUGAACAGAGAGAAUGAAUUUUCUUCCCCAUGGCUUGGCUCUUAGCACUCUUGUUCCAGACGGCUUCAGUACGUCAAAUUAGAAACCAAUGCCGACCAUCUGGAUAUCACGUACUCGACACAAUACGCCCACUGCACCGCCGUACGCAUUUGCUGGAGUGCAUACGUUCUCCUAGAUCAAAUUGCAAGAUUUUAUGAGCUAGAUAAUUUGCCAAUUGCCUUUACAGAAUUUUGAGAUAAAUUGUUUCACAAUAACGUAAUACUUAACACAUUAACCUAAACUUCACCCUGUCGACUGCCGAGCAGAAUGUAUACUCACUAUACUGAGACUGACUAAUGCACUCUCCCAUAAAACCAACGCUAGGUUUCAAAACUUCUUGAUUAAUUACAUUUUUCAAAGAUCUUAUUUGAGCAGUUUGUAAUUAUUUGCCAACAUUGUGAAAUAUUUUAUACGUUAAUAAAUUUUUACAGAUGCGAAUGAAAUAAUAAAAUAUCAAACGUU
This is a long non-coding RNA of Daphnia magna, 924 nucleotides long. RefSeq lists it as uncharacterized. The record is from RefSeq and is a predicted model, not a curated record. NCBI's taxonomy places the organism in Eukaryota, Metazoa, Arthropoda, Branchiopoda, Diplostraca, Daphniidae. The transcript has 2 exons.